AUUCUCUAGGAGUGGAGCUGUAACCUGACACCAGGGAUUCAGACCUCCCUUUGCCUCAGCAGCUCUUGGCAUUCAUGAACAGCAGCAAAAGGCUCUUUCAUGCCCACUGUCUCUCUAGCCAUUCAAAGCGUAUCCUCCUUCCAGCACUAAGAGAAAUGUCCUGAAGACAUCAGUUCCAAGACCCCCUAGGACGAAGUAACGAGGAUUAUUUUCCCUCAGAUAAAAUAUAGGCUUCUCAAGGUCCAGAAUAGCUUUCCUCUUCCAAGGCCCAGUGGUACCCAUAAAUGCUGAAGUCGAAUCGCCAAUAUGCUUUCUAACUGGGUAAGCCCUAGAAAGCUUUUUAUGGUUCAUCUCACUAGGCUCACUGGAGUGCCCACAUGAUCAGGAUGGUCACAAAGCAAAGUUAAAUGUCUUAAUGAGUAUACAAGGCUCGUCUGAAAGACCAGCUGUGUUAGUAAAGGAAUAUAAGUCAAUCCCACCGAUAUAUCUACUCCUGUCUACUGUUUUUAUCGGAAGGAAACAUGUCUCUCCAAUUAAUGUUUUACUAUGCUGAAAAUAUUCAAAUAACCUUUUCCUUCACAUCUGUGACCUCUCACAGAGCUCAGUUCUGGUUCUGAUUAUUCACUCUCAGAUCUUAAUCCCUCAGAGCAAAAGAGAGAGAGAGAGAGAGAGACAGAGACAGAGACAGAGAGAGGGAGAGAGAGAGAGAGAAUCCCUCUACUACUCAACGAAAGGUACCAUCAACUCAAUCACACCGGAAAUCUUCCACAUAGAUGCAACUUGGAUACAGCUCCCUGCAGUCCUGCGUCCCACUUUCGGAAAACUGGCUGUGCAAACAAAAACAUCCUUCCAAACAACAGGAGCCUUGUGCCCUGAGAAGCUUAAGCACCUGUAGUACACACACUGCCCUGUACCCUGUGGGUGCUCCAUAAAUACCUAGUGACUGAUUCACAGGCCAAUUACAGGUCUGGUGAUGACACAGGGUUUGACCGCCUGGUGCUACUCUGGGGAGUGUGAGGAAUCCAGAAUUGUUGUGGGAGUAGGAAGAAUUAAUACCUGUGAAAUUCUAAAAGGACUGCAAUGUUGACAGCUCCGAACUAUAUACAUUUUGUCUGCAUCCCUCCCCAAUAGAAAGCUAGUAAUGCCCCCUGAACUCUUUCGGAAAAGCGAAUAAGCCCACUUAUCAAAGGACCAACAAACUAGUUCGGGGUGGUGGGUGCUUAAAAAAAAGAGGGAAACUUACUUUUCAUAGACCAGCUCCUCGUCGAUGGAGAAAUAGUGGAUAUUUAUUGUGCUUUUUGGUCUAUUCCUUAAAGUAGCAAAAUAUAAUCGAUCUGAAAGACAAGUUUAAAAGACAGAACAUGAGAAGCAGGGACGGGAGGCUGACAGUACGGAUCAUGCACGAAGGAUUAAUGAUUGCUACACACCAUUUAAAGACCCUUUGAACACGUGGGAAUCUUGGGGAAACAGGAUCUUCCAGAAAACUACAGAGCCCCAAAAGCACAACCAGCCAAGAGGCUAGAAGACCCAGCAGGGGGCAGAGCAUCUUCGGAGUUCCCUCACCCCCUGGUUGCGUGCGGGCGGGUGCAGACAGGAGCUGUGGGUACCCGCAAAACUGGAGACACAAGUUUGGUUCGGAAACCUCCAGACCUCAGCUGCAGCGGAAUGGGAAGAGAGGGAGAGAGGGGGCGCUCGAGCGAAAUGCCAACUGAAGAGACUUGGAGCGCUGACGCCAGGGAGGCAACUCAACUCAUGAUUCUUAGGACAUUAUUCUGCUCUGCUGACUUUCCAGAAAGCAAACAAGCACAAAACUGGCACAUGCAUGAAGACCUAGAGAACAUACUGUUGGAAGCAACUUCAAAUUAUGCCAACAACUUCCUGUCCAAGUGCUUCCCUUGAGGCUACGCCAAGAGCGUGUCACACUCUACACACAACAGCUCUUCAAAGCUACGAAGAAGCUCUUUGACUGCGUCCUGGAAUCCCACAUCUUCCUCAACCUUUCCUUCUGGUACAUCUGUCUACCCUCUCUCCUUUCUACCCCAAUCUUCACCAAUUUGCCCACUUUCUCAUGAAUUGUGUCCCAGAAUGGAAUGCAGGCCAAUGCUGAGCUGGUGUGACUAGCUUUGAUGCGUGGGGAUAAGGAGGACACAUUUUUUUGCUAAGUGAUGGGAGGCUUGGGUGGGAACAAAAGCAAUGGAAACCAUUAAAAGAACCCAGUUUUAUCAUUCAGCAGUCAAAUCAAAA
This is an RNA transcript of Rattus norvegicus (Norway rat), 2244 nucleotides long. RefSeq lists it as uncharacterized. Lineage: Eukaryota; Metazoa; Chordata; Mammalia; Rodentia; Muridae. The record is from RefSeq and is a predicted model, not a curated record.